Molecule: ribosomal RNA, 450 nt
Filed under: uncultured Glomeromycotina
Lineage: Eukaryota; Fungi; Glomeromycota
Description: SSU rRNA
Rfam family: Eukaryotic small subunit ribosomal RNA
Source: RNAcentral
AGCAGCCGCGGUAAUUCCAGCUCCAAUAGCGUAUAUUAAAGUUGUUGCAGUUAAAAAGCUCGUAGUUGAAUUUCGGGGUUAGCAGGUCGGUCGUGCCAUCGGUGUGAACUGGUCUCGCUGAUCCCUCCCUCUUGACGAACUGUGAUGCCAUUAAUUUGGUGUCGCAGGGAAUCAGGACUGUUACUUUGAAAAAAUUAGAGUGUUUAAAGCAGGCUCACGCUUGAAUACAUUAGCAUGGAAUAAUGAAAUAGGACGUUUGAUCCUAUUUUGUUGGCUUCUAGGAUUGACGUAAUGAUUAAUAGGGAUAGUUGGGGGCAUUAGUAUUCAAUUGUCAGAGGUGAAAUUCUUGGAUUUAUUGAAGACUAACUACUGCGAAAGCAUUUGCCAAGGAUGUUUUCAUUAAUCAAGAACGAAAGUUAGGGGAUCGAAGACGAUCAGAUACCGUCGUAG